UACGGAGAAAGAACUAACAGGAUUCCCCUAGUAACUGCGAGUGAAGCGGGAAAAGCUCAAAUUUAAAAUCUGACGUGUCUUUGACCGUCCGAGUUGUAAUCUGGAGAAGUGUUUUCUGUGUUGGACCGUGUACAAGUCCCUUGGAAUAGGGCGUCAUAGAGGGUGAGAAUCCCGUCUUUGACACGGACUACCAAUGCUCUGNGAUACGCUCUCAAAGAGUCGAGUUGUUUGGGAAUGCAGCUCAAAAUGGGUGGUAAAUUCCAUCUAAAGCUAAAUAUUGGCGAGAGACCGAUAGCGAACAAGUACCGUGAGGGAAAGAUGAAAAGCACUUUGGAAAGAGAGUUAAACAGUACGUGAAAUUGUUGAAAGGGAAACGCUUGAAGUCAGUCGCGUCGUCCGGGACUCAGCCUUGCUUUUGCUCGGUGUACUUCCUGGUUGACGGGUCAACAUCGAUUUUGGUUGGCGGACAAUGGUGGGGGGAAUGUGGCACCUUUGGGUGUGUUAUAGCCUCCCGUCGGACGCGUCGACUGGGAUCGAGGACCGCAGCACGCCUUUUUGGCCGGGGUUCGCCCACGUAACGUGCUUAGGAUGUUGGCAUAAUGGCUUUAAGCGACCCGUCUUGAAACACGGACCAAGGAGUCUAACAUGCCUGCGAGUGUUAGGGUGGCAAACCCUUGCGCGCAAUGAAAGUGAAAGUUGGGACCUCUGUCAUGGGGGGCACCGACGCCCGGCCUUGAACUUCUGUGACGGUGCCGCGGUGGAGCAUGCAUGUUGGGACCCGAAAGAUGGUGAACUAUGCCUGAAUAGGGCGAAGCCAGAGGAAACUCUGGUGGAGGCUCGUAGCGAUUCUGACGUGCAAAUCGAUCGUCAAAUUUGGGUAUAGGGGCGAAAGACUAAUCGAACCAUCUAGUAGCUGGUUCCUGCCGAAGUUUCCCUCAGGAUAGCAGAAACUCGUAUCAGAUUUAUGUGGUAAAGCGAAUGAUUAGAGGCCUUGGGGUUGAAACAACCUUAACCUAUUCUCAAACUUUAAAUAUGUAAGAACAAGCCGUCUCUUAGUUGGACCGCUUGGCGAUUGAGAGUUUCUAGUGGGCCAUUUUUGGUAAGCAGAACUGGCGAUGCGGGAUGAACCGAACGCGAGGUUAAGGUGCCGGAAUGCACGCUCAUCAGACACCACAAAA
RNAcentral lists this ribosomal RNA (1178 nucleotides) under Alloclavaria purpurea. RNAcentral's name for it is "eukaryotic LSU rRNA". It matches the Rfam family "Eukaryotic large subunit ribosomal RNA", at positions 52 to 1219 of the family's 3401-position model. The record is from RNAcentral. Lineage: Eukaryota; Fungi; Basidiomycota; Agaricomycetes; Hymenochaetales; Rickenellaceae.